CUGAAACCGUUGAAGUUUAAGGGUCUGUGUGUUGAAAUGAUAAUGAACAAAUCCAGAAUGUUGUGGAGGACGUGCAGCACUCACCUGGAAGAGCUGAAGACGCCGUAGACGGUCGGGUUCUGAGGAUCCUUGGUUUCCAGAACAAAGAUGUCCUCUAUCAACAUGAAAAGCCUGUUUAUGGUUCUGAAGGAGUUCUCCUUCAUAUGACACAUCAUUCAAACAGCAGAGAGAAAGCCUGGAGUGUGCAGACGUAGAUGUCCCACAGAGAUCGUGACAGGAAGGGACUGCUGUUACCCAGCUCAUCGAAGUGCGUGUCCACUCCUGACGGGCCGGGAACAGAACAGACCAGCCGGGCUUUGAGGAAGGUGGUCCAGCGGUUGAUCAGACUCCUCUUCCCCCCGACGUCGUUCUGAACCCGAGAAGAGAGGGAGAUGUUCCAGAUUCCUUUAAUCAUAGCUGGUGCUGUCACUGGAUCUCCAUCCAUUAAUUACAGACAUUUUAGAGCCUCAUUUUUUAAAUUCACGUUAACCUCAUUUUCAUGUUGGAUUGUUACUUCUGUGUUAGUGCAGACCUGUAAUUAAUAAAUAUGAAAUACAUUAUUA
Molecule: long non-coding RNA, 602 nt
Organism: Oryzias melastigma (Indian medaka)
Lineage: Eukaryota; Metazoa; Chordata; Actinopteri; Beloniformes; Adrianichthyidae
Exons: 2
Source: RefSeq, a predicted model, not a curated record